UCAGGACGAACGCUGGCGGCGUGCUUAACACAUGCAAGUCGAGCGGAAAGGCCCCUUCGGGGGUACUCGAGCGGCGAACGGGUGAGUAACACGUGAGCAACCUGCCCCUGACUCUGGGAUAAGCCCGGGAAACUGGGUCUAAUACCGGAUAUGACCACGGGUCGCAUGGCCUUGUGGUGGAAAGUUUUUCGGUUGGGGAUGGGCUCGCGGCCUAUCAGCUUGUUGGUGGGGUGAUGGCCUACCAAGGCGACGACGGGUAACCGGCCUGAGAGGGCGACCGGUCACACUGGGACUGAGACACGGCCCAGACUCCUACGGGAGGCAGCAGUGGGGAAUAUUGCGCAAUGGGCGGAAGCCUGACGCAGCGACGCCGCGUGGGGGAUGACGGCCUUCGGGUUGUAAACCUCUUUCAGCAGGGACGAAGCGAAAGUGACGGUACCUGCAGAAGAAGCGCCGGCUAACUACGUGCCAGCAGCCGCGGUAAUACGUAGGGCGCAAGCGUUGUCCGGAAUUAUUGGGCGUAAAGAGCUCGUAGGCGGUUUGUCGCGUCUGUCGUGAAAGCCCACGGCUUAACUGUGGGUCUGCGGUGGAUACGGGCAGACUAGAGGCAGGUAGGGGAGAAUGGAAUUCCCGGUGUAGCGGUGAAAUGCGCAGAUAUCGGGAGGAACACCGGUGGCGAAGGCGGUUCUCUGGGCCUGUACUGACGCUGAGGAGCGAAAGCGUGGGGAGCGAACAGGAUUAGAUACCCUGGUAGUCCACGCCGUAAACGUUGGGCGCUAGGUGUGGGGUUCUUCCACGGAUUCCGCUCCGUAG
This 813-nucleotide ribosomal RNA is filed under the name Actinomadura sp. RK2_75. RNAcentral's name for it is "bacterial SSU rRNA". It matches the Rfam family "Bacterial small subunit ribosomal RNA", at positions 24 to 851 of the family's 1533-position model. The record is from RNAcentral. Lineage: Bacteria; Bacillati; Actinomycetota; Actinomycetes; Streptosporangiales; Thermomonosporaceae.